This 301-nucleotide ribosomal RNA is filed under the name uncultured bacterium. RNAcentral describes it as "partial 16S ribosomal RNA". It matches the Rfam family "Bacterial small subunit ribosomal RNA", at positions 509 to 809 of the family's 1533-position model. The record is from RNAcentral.
CAGUCGCCGCGGUAAUACGUAGGGCGCAAGCGUUAUCCGGAAUUAUUGGGCGUAAAGAGCUCGUAGGCGGUUUGUCGCGUCUGCCGUGAAAGUCCGGGGCUCAACCCCGGAUCUGCGGUGGGUACGGGCAGACUAGAGUGAUGUAGGGGAGACUGGAAUUCCUGGUGUAGCGGUGAAAUGCGCAGAUAUCAGGAGGAACACCGAUGGCGAAGGCAGGUCUCCGGGCAUUAACUGACGCUGAGGAGCGAAAGCAUGGGGAGCGAACAGGAUUAGAUACCCGCGUAGUCCCUGUCUCUUAUAA